Molecule: transfer RNA, 71 nt
Filed under: uncultured eukaryote
Lineage: Eukaryota
Rfam family: tRNA
About the family: Transfer RNA (tRNA) molecules are approximately 80 nucleotides in length.
Source: RNAcentral
GAGUGGUAGUUCAGUUGGUUAGAAUACCGGCCUGUCACGCCGGGGGUCGCGAGUUCGAGUCUCGUCCACUC